Schistosoma rodhaini is the source of this 45-nucleotide non-coding RNA. The record is from Rfam. Lineage: Eukaryota; Metazoa; Platyhelminthes; Trematoda; Strigeidida; Schistosomatidae.
ACUCAGUUCACGAGUACCAAAUAGAACGAAACGCGCGUCCUGGAU